This 303-nucleotide ribosomal RNA is filed under the name uncultured bacterium. RNAcentral describes it as "bacterial SSU rRNA". It matches the Rfam family "Bacterial small subunit ribosomal RNA", at positions 355 to 674 of the family's 1533-position model. The record is from RNAcentral.
UCGGGAAUAUUGCGCAAUGGAGGAAACUCUGACGCAGUGACGCCGCGUAUAGGAAGAAGUUUUUCGGAAUGUAAACUAUUGUCGUUAGGGAAGAGAAAGGACAGUACCUAAGGAGGAAGCUCCGGCUAACUACGUGCCAGCAGCCGCGGUAAUACGUAGGGAGCGAGCGUUAUCCGGAUUUAUUGGGUGUAAAGGGUGCGUAGACGGGAAAACAAGUUAGUUGUGAAAUCCCUCGGCUUAACUGAGGAACUGCAACUAAAACUAUUUUUCUUGAGUGCAGGAGAGGUAAGUGGAAUUCCUAGU